This 258-nucleotide ribosomal RNA is filed under the name Vibrio parahaemolyticus. RNAcentral's name for it is "partial 23S ribosomal RNA". It matches the Rfam family "Bacterial large subunit ribosomal RNA", at positions 636 to 896 of the family's 2925-position model. The record is from RNAcentral. Lineage: Bacteria; Pseudomonadati; Pseudomonadota; Gammaproteobacteria; Vibrionales; Vibrionaceae.
AGUGGCAAGGUUAACCAUCUAGGGGAGCCGUAGGGAAACCGAGUCUUAACUGGGCGUUCAGUCUCUGGAUAUAGACCCGAAACCAGGUGAUCUAGCCAUGGGCAGGUUGAAGGUUGAGUAACAUCAACUGGAGGACCGAACCGACUAAUGUUGAAAAAUUAGCGGAUGACUUGUGGCUAGGGGUGAAAGGCCAAUCAAACCUGGAGAUAGCUGGUUCUCCCCGAAAGCUAUUUAGGUAGCGCCUCGGACGAAUACUAC